This 462-nucleotide ribosomal RNA is filed under the name uncultured bacterium. RNAcentral's name for it is "SSU rRNA". It matches the Rfam family "Bacterial small subunit ribosomal RNA", at positions 26 to 518 of the family's 1533-position model. The record is from RNAcentral.
AGGAUUAACGCUGGCGGCGUGCCUAACACAUGCAAGUCGAACGAGGUAGCAAUACCUAGUGGCAGACGGGUGAGUAACGCGUGGUCAACCUACCGUUGAGUGGGGGAUAACUAGCCGAAAGGUUAGCUAAUACCGCAUACGAGUCUCGGGGGCAUCCCUGAGCCUUAAAAGGAGCAAUCCGCUCGAUGACGGGACCGCGUCCCAUUAGCUAGAUGGUGGGGUAACGGCCUACCAUGGCACCGAUGGGUAGCUGGUUUGAGAGAGCGACCAGCCACACUGGGACUGAGAAACGGCCCAGACUCCUACGGGAGGCAGCAGUGAGGAAUUUUCCGCAAUGGGCGAAAGCCUGACGGAGCGACGCCGCGUGUGGGAAGAAGGCCUUCGGGUCGUAAACACUGUCGAAGGGGACGAUAAUGACGGUACCUUGGAGGAAGCCCCGGCUAACUACGCGCCAGCAGCCGC